UGUGUGUGUGUGUGUGUGUGUGUAUAUAUAUAUAUGUGUGUGUGUGUGUGUGUAUAUAUAUAUAUAUAUAUACACACACACACACACACACACA
This 94-nucleotide microRNA precursor is filed under the name Pelobates cultripes (western spadefoot toad). The record is from RNAcentral. Lineage: Eukaryota; Metazoa; Chordata; Amphibia; Anura; Pelobatidae.